AAAUUGAAGAGUUUGAUCAUGGCUCAGAUUGAACGCUGGCGGCAGGCCUAACACAUGCAAGUCGAACGGUAACAGGAAACAGCUUGCUGUUUCGCUGACGAGUGGCGGACGGGUGAGUAAUGUCUGGGAAACUGCCUGAUGGAGGGGGAUAACUACUGGAAACGGUAGCUAAUACCGCAUAACGUCGCAAGACCAAAGAGGGGGACCUUCGGGCCUCUUGCCAUCGGAUGUGCCCAGAUGGGAUUAG
This 247-nucleotide ribosomal RNA is filed under the name Escherichia coli. RNAcentral's name for it is "partial 16S ribosomal RNA". It matches the Rfam family "Bacterial small subunit ribosomal RNA", at positions 1 to 244 of the family's 1533-position model. The record is from RNAcentral. Lineage: Bacteria; Pseudomonadati; Pseudomonadota; Gammaproteobacteria; Enterobacterales; Enterobacteriaceae. RNAcentral also lists the same sequence under 2 other names.